UUAGUUAUGGUUGUUUUACAAGAUUUAAAGUGCUAGGAAAAAAAAGUGCUGCAGUAAAAAAAAAUGUAUCUAAGAGGGGAACCUGACUUUCUGUGGAAAUCAGGUAGUAAUUUUCAGCUUGCAAUCUGAAGGGUGAUGCAUUAGUUUUCUAUUGCUGCCGUAACAAAUUACACAAACGCAGUGGCUUCAACAACACAAAUGUGUGGUCUUACAAUUCUGCAGGAAAAAUCCGACGCUGAUUCCACAGGAUAAAAUCAAAGCAUCAGCAGGGCUCUAUUCUUCCUUGGAAUCUCUAAGAGAGAAUCUGUUUUCUGGACCUUUCCAGUUUCCAGAGGCUGCUCUCAUCCUUGGCUCAUGGUCCCCUUCCUCCAUCGUCAGUGCCAGCAACACUGUAUCUCUCUAUGCCCUCCAUCAGAGUCACAUCAUCCUCUGACUGACUCUCCUCUUCUUCCGCCCUCUUCCACUCUUGAGGACAUUUCUGAUUACAUUGGGCCCACCUGGAUAAUCCAGGCUUAUUAAAAUCAGCUGAUUAGCAACUGGCCCUGGAAACGACUACUGCUCUGAGUCUAAAUGCAGAUCUCUGUGCUGAAGCAGCCUGAAACUCCCUACAUUACCUGCAAAGUUAUCCAUCAUGGCUUACCAAGCAGUGCUAUGUCCGCACCCAGGACCCGGGAUCCGAACCAGCAAACCCCUGGCUGCUGAAGCAGAACGUGUGCACUUAACUGCUGCACCACCUGGCUGGCCCCUCAAUGAAGUAGUUUUGAGGCCCAGAUACCUUUGCUCUUGUAACUUUACUUUCUACUCCCACUUUAUCAUCAUCUACAUCCAGCUGGAGGUGGGAAGAGUUUACAUACAGCAUGGAGGAAUCAGGCCUGCCUUUUA
Molecule: long non-coding RNA, 882 nt
Filed under: Equus asinus (donkey)
Lineage: Eukaryota; Metazoa; Chordata; Mammalia; Perissodactyla; Equidae
Description: lncRNA (ENSEASG00005026380.1)
Source: RNAcentral